ACUUGUAGAUAUUUAUAUAGCUAUAUUUUCGGACAGGAGUUCAAGUCUCCUCGGCUCCACCA
This 62-nucleotide transfer-messenger RNA is filed under the name Acholeplasma sp. CAG:878. It matches the Rfam family "transfer-messenger RNA", at positions 312 to 374 of the family's 374-position model. From Rfam's summary of the family: Bacterial tmRNA, also known as 10Sa RNA or SsrA, is named for its dual tRNA and mRNA-like properties. Its role is to liberate the mRNA from a stalled ribosome. The record is from Rfam by way of RNAcentral. Lineage: Bacteria; Bacillati; Mycoplasmatota; Mollicutes; Acholeplasmatales; Acholeplasmataceae.